Molecule: long non-coding RNA, 428 nt
Organism: Sarcophilus harrisii (Tasmanian devil)
Lineage: Eukaryota; Metazoa; Chordata; Mammalia; Dasyuromorphia; Dasyuridae
Exons: 4
Source: RefSeq, a predicted model, not a curated record
UACAGGGAACAGGUCAACGUGCGUGGCUCAAACCAGGCCAGGAGGAAGGCCUUCAGAAGAUUCAAGUCUCAUUUCUCAUUCAAACUUAUUGGGUAUCCUAAGUGCAUUAAACCUUUGAUAACUCUCUUCACCUGUACAAGAUAAAGAAGAACAGUUUAAAGGAUGCUCAGUUUUCUGAAUUCUCAGGGAUUUUUUCAAAGAUGAUAACACUUGGAUGAAAACAAUUCUGAUACAAGGACUUCGGGACUCGACUUUAGAUUUCAUCUGGUUUUUCAGAAAUUUCCUCUCGAUCAAGACAUAGUGAAGAGACUUGAUUAAAGCCACCUUGUUAGCCAGUGGAAAAACCAGAACUGAACCCAGGCCUCCAAUCUUCUUUCUGCUACAAUACACUGACUAGCAAUGAAAAACCAAGGCCUGCCCCAUUUUAA